RNAcentral lists this ribosomal RNA (940 nucleotides) under Macratria sp. COL1005. RNAcentral's name for it is "bacterial SSU rRNA". It matches the Rfam family "Eukaryotic small subunit ribosomal RNA", at positions 55 to 851 of the family's 1831-position model. Lineage: Eukaryota; Metazoa; Arthropoda; Insecta; Coleoptera; Anthicidae. The record is from RNAcentral.
AUGUCUCAGUACAAGCCCAUUAAGGUGAAACCGCGAAAGGCUCAUUAAAUCAGUUAUGGUUCCUUAGAUUGUACCCACAUUUACUUGGAUAACUGUGGUAAUUCUAGAGCUAAUACAUGCAAACAGAGCUCCGACCGGAGACGGAAGGAGCGCUUUUAUUAGAUCAAAACCAAUCGGUGGCGUUUGUGCUUAACGGCCAAUCGUCAUCGUGCAAAUAAAUGGUGAAUCUGAAUAACUUUAAGCUGAUCGCAUGGUCUCGAACCGGCGACGCAUCUUUCAAAUGUCUGCCUUAUCAACUGUCGAUGGUAGGUUCUGCGCCUACCAUGGUUGUAACGGGUAACGGGGAAUCAGGGUUCGAUUCCGGAGAGGGAGCCUGAGAAACGGCUACCACAUCCAAGGAAGGCAGCAGGCGCGCAAAUUACCCACUCCCGGCACGGGGAGGUAGUGACGAAAAAUAACGAUACGGGACUCAUCCGAGGCCCCGUAAUCGGAAUGAGUACACUUUAAAUCCUUUAACGAGGAUCAAUUGGAGGGCAAGUCUGGUGCCAGCAGCCGCGGUAAUUCCAGCUCCAAUAGCGUAUAUUAAAGUUGUUGCGGUUAAAAAGCUCGUAGUCGAAUUUGUGUGCAGCGCCGCUGGUUCAUCGUUCGCGGUGUUAACUGGCGUGUCGCUGUACGUAUUGCCGGUGGGCUUAGCUUGCCGUUCAUUUAACUAGAAUUCGUUUUGGUGGGUGUUCCCAAAAGGUCUCCCAUCAGCGGUCUGGUGGUGGCGGUUUUAGCGGCCCAAUAUUAAAUCCUGCCACGGUGCUCUUCAUUGAGUGUCGAGGUGGGCCGGCACAUUUACUUUGAACAAAUUAGAGUGCUUAAAGCAGGCUAAAAUUUCGCCUGAAUAUUUCGUGCAUGGAAUAAUGGAAUAGGACCUCGGUUCUAUUUUGUUGGUUUU